This 1236-nucleotide ribosomal RNA is filed under the name metagenome. RNAcentral's name for it is "bacterial LSU rRNA". It matches the Rfam family "Bacterial large subunit ribosomal RNA", at positions 1649 to 2908 of the family's 2925-position model. The record is from RNAcentral.
UAACCGACACAGGUGGACUGGUUGAGCAUACCCAGGCGUUUGAGAGAACCACGUUGAAGGAACUAGGCAAAUUGCCCGCGUAACUUCGGGAGAAGCGGGACCCUCGGUCGGGCAACCGGUCGGGGGUGGCACAGACCAGGGGGUGGCGACUGUUUACUAAAAACACAGGGCUCUGCGAACUCGCGAGAGGACGUAUAGGGUCUGACGCCUGCCCGGUGCCGGAAGGUCAAGGGGAGUGGUGCAAGCUACGAACCGAAGCCCCGGUAAACGGCGGCCGUAACAAUAACGGUCCUAAGGUAGCGAAAUUCCUUGUCGGGUAAGUUCCGACCUGCACGAAUGGCGUAACGACUUCCCCACUGUCUCCAACGUGGACUCAGCGAAAUUGAAUUCCCCGUGAAGAUGCGGGGUACCCGCGGUCAGACGGAAAGACCCCGUGCACCUUUACUACAGCUUUGCACUGGUACUAGGCGGGCCAUGUGUAGGAUAGGUGGGAGCCUUUGAAGCUCGGGCGCCAGCUCGGGUGGAGGCAACCUUGAAAUACCACCCUUGGGCCGACUGGUAUCUAACCGCGCACCGUCAACCGGUGUCGGGACCCUGCAUGGCGGGUAGUUUGACUGGGGCGGUCGCCUCCCAAAGAGUAACGGAGGCGCGCGAUGGUGGGCUCAGGCUGGUCGGAAACCAGCCGUCGCGUGCAAGCGCAUAAGCCCGCCUGACUGCAAGACCGACAGGUCGCGCAGAGACGAAAGUCGGCGCUAGUGAUCCGGUGGUCCCGCGUGGAAGGGCCAUCGCUCAACGGAUAAAAGGUACGCCGGGGAUAACAGGCUGAUGACCCCCAAGAGUCCCCAUCGACGGGGUCGUUUGGCACCUCGAUGUCGGCUCAUCACAUCCUGGGGCUGAAGCAGGUCCCAAGGGUUCGGCUGUUCGCCGAUUAAAGUGGUACGUGAGCUGGGUUUAGAACGUCGUGAGACAGUUCGGUCCCUAUCUGCCGUGGGUGUACGAGACUUGCGCGGAGCUGUCUUUAGUACGAGAGGACCGAGGUGGACGGACCUCUGGUGGACCGGUUGUCACGCCAGUGGCACAGCCGGGUAGCUAAGUCCGGACGGGAUAACCGCUGAAAGCAUCUAAGCGGGAAACCCACCGCAAAACCAGGUCUCGCCGAGAGCCGUGGAAGACCACCACGUCGAUAGGCCGGAGGUGUAAGCGUGGCAACACGUUCAGCCAACCGGUCCUAAUAGC